RNAcentral lists this long non-coding RNA (224 nucleotides) under Elaeis guineensis (African oil palm). RNAcentral describes it as "long non-coding RNA (EGUI_LNC049277)". Lineage: Eukaryota; Viridiplantae; Streptophyta; Magnoliopsida; Arecales; Arecaceae. The record is from RNAcentral.
AUUUUGAUUGGGUCAUUGUUGUUUGAUUUGGGCAAUUUGGUAAUGCUUUGCUAUGUGUUUAUGGGUGAAAAAGAUAACAAUGUUUCUUGUUUGAGAGAUUGACUCAUGGAAGUUGUGGUUUGUGGCAAGUAAUUUACUACUAUUUGUGUGUGUUUAUGGGUUAUAGAGCUUCAUUUGAAAUAUAGAUACAAUUUAUUGUUUACUCCAUGGAAAUACGUAGCAUC